AACUUCUGAAUGUGACCUCGGAUCAGGUAGGAAUACCCGCUGAACUUAAGCAUAUCAUAGGCCGGAGGAAAA
RNAcentral lists this ribosomal RNA (72 nucleotides) under Fusarium acuminatum. RNAcentral's name for it is "partial 28S ribosomal RNA". Lineage: Eukaryota; Fungi; Ascomycota; Sordariomycetes; Hypocreales; Nectriaceae. The record is from RNAcentral.